CACACGACCGUACCGCAAACCGACACUGGUGCGCGAGAUGAGUAUUCUAAGGCGCUUGAGAGAACUCAGGAGAAGGAACUCGGCAAAUUGACACCGUAACUUCGGAAGAAGGUGUGCCUUUAGUAGGUGAAGUCCCUCGCGGAUGGAGCUGAGAAAGGUUGCAAAAAAUCGGUGGCUGCGACUGUUUAUUAAAAACACAGCACUCUGCAAACACGAAAGUGGACGUAUAGGGUGUGACGCCUGCCCGGUGCUGGAAGAUUAAAUGAUGGGGUGCAAGCUCUUGAUUGAAGUCCCAGUAAACGGCGGCCGUAACUAUAACGGUCCUAAGGUAGCGAAAUUCCUUGUCGGGUAAGUUCCGACCUGCACGAAUGGCGUAACGAUGGCCACACUGUCUCCUCCUGAGACUCAGCGAAGUUGAAAUGUUUGUGAUGAUGCAAUCUCCCCGCGGAAAGACGGAAAGACCCCAUGAACCUUUACUGUAGCUUUGUAUUGGACUUUGAACAGAUCUGUGUAGGAUAGGUGGGAGGCUUUGAAGCGGUGCCGCUAGGUAUCGUGGAGUCAACGUUGAAAUACCACCCUGGUGUGUUUGAGGUUCUAACCUAGGUCCAUUAUCUGGAUCGGGGACAGUGCAUGGUAGGCAGUUUGACUGGGGCGGUCUCCUCCCAAAGCGUAACGGAGGAGUUCGAAGGUACGCUAGUUACGGUCGGACAUCGUGACGAUAGUGCAAUGGCAUAAGCGUGCUUAACUGCGAGACUGACAAGUCGAGCAGAUGCGAAAGCAGGACAUAGUGAUCCGGUGGUUCUGUAUGGAAGGGCCAUCGCUCAACGGAUAAAAGGUACUCUGCGGAUAACAGGCUGAUACCGCCCAAGAGUUCGUAUCGACGGCGGUGUUUGGCACCUCGAUGUCAGCUCAUCUCAUCCUGGGGCUGUAGCCGGUCCCAAGGGUAUGGCUGUUCGCCAUUUAAAGAGGUACGUGAGCUGGGUUUAAAACGUCGUGAGACAGUUUGGUCCCUAUCUUCCGUGGGCGCUGCAGAUUUGAGGAAGCCUGCUCCUAGUACGAGAGGACCGGAGUGGACACACCUCUGGUGUAUCGGUUGUCACGCCAGUGACAUUGCCGAGUAGCUAUGUGUGGAAGAGAUAACCGCUGAAAGCAUCUAAGCGGGAAACUCGUUUCAAGAUGAGAUCUGCCGGGGCCUUGAGCCCCCUAAAGAGUCGUUCAAGACCAGGACGUUGAUAGGUCAGGUGUGGAAGCGCAGUAAUGCGUUAAGCUAACUGAUACUAAUUGCUCGUGCGGCUUGACCAA
This 1302-nucleotide ribosomal RNA is filed under the name metagenome. RNAcentral describes it as "bacterial LSU rRNA". It matches the Rfam family "Bacterial large subunit ribosomal RNA", at positions 1635 to 2925 of the family's 2925-position model. The record is from RNAcentral.